GUUUUCACUCCCAAUUCAGAAUAUGCAAUAUCAACUCAUAAGUUUGAAUAGUUUCUUCUUUCAUAUCAACUACACACAACACACACUUUUUGAGGUCUUUUGGGUUGUAACAGGGCUUGGGUUAUGGUGUGGUAAAUACAAACAAAAGGGAAAACAAGUGGUUUUGGGUUCAGAGCCAAUGUCAUUAUUUUUUCUCACUAUGUUUGUUCAUUUUACUUCUUUUCUUUUUC
RNAcentral lists this long non-coding RNA (230 nucleotides) under Lathyrus oleraceus (garden pea). Its description in RNAcentral is "Pisum sativum (pea) long non-coding RNA (PSAT_LNC001585)". The record is from RNAcentral. Lineage: Eukaryota; Viridiplantae; Streptophyta; Magnoliopsida; Fabales; Fabaceae.